GACGUAGGGUCCAAGCGUUGUCCGGAUUUACUGGGCGUAAAGAGCGCGUAGGCGGCUCGUUAAGUGUGAAGUGAAAUCUCCAGGGCUCAACCCGGAAACUGCUUUACAUACUGGCGAGCUGGAGUGAUGAAGAGGUUUGUGGAAUUCCUGGUGUAGCGGUGAAAUGCGUUGAUAUCAGGAGGAACACCCAUGGCGAAGGCAGCAAACUGGUCAUCAACUGACGCUGAGACGCGAAAGCGUGGGUAGCAAACAGG
Molecule: ribosomal RNA, 254 nt
Filed under: uncultured bacterium
Lineage: Bacteria
Description: partial 16S ribosomal RNA
Rfam family: Bacterial small subunit ribosomal RNA
Source: RNAcentral